GUAAGGAAUAUUGGACAAUGGACGCAAGUCUGAUCCAGCCAUGCCGCGUGAAGGAUUAAGGUCCUCUGGAUUGUAAACUUCUUUUAUAAGGGACGAAAAAAGGCUUUUCUAAGUCGUCUGACGGUACCUUAUGAAUAAGCACCGGCUAACUCCGUGCCAGCAGCCGCGGUAAUACGGAGGGUGCAAGCGUUAUCCGGAUUCACUGGGUUUAAAGGGUGCGUAGGCGGGCACGUAAGUCAGUGGUGAAAUCCUAGAGCUUAACUCUAGAACUGCCAUUGAUACUAUCUGUCUUGAAUAUUGUGGAGGUAAGCGGAAUAUGUCAUGUAGCGGUGAAAUGCUUAGAUAUGACAUAGAACACCUAUUGCGAAGGCAGCUUACUACGCAUAUAUUGACGCUGAGGCACGAAAGCGUGGGGAUCAAACAGGAUUAGAAACCCGGGUAGUCC
RNAcentral lists this ribosomal RNA (445 nucleotides) under uncultured bacterium. RNAcentral describes it as "partial 16S ribosomal RNA". It matches the Rfam family "Bacterial small subunit ribosomal RNA", at positions 354 to 796 of the family's 1533-position model. The record is from RNAcentral.